Molecule: unclassified non-coding RNA, 150 nt
Filed under: Shewanella denitrificans OS217
Lineage: Bacteria; Pseudomonadati; Pseudomonadota; Gammaproteobacteria; Alteromonadales; Shewanellaceae
Description: t44 RNA as predicted by Rfam
Rfam family: t44 RNA (bases 62-149)
About the family: This family consists of a number of bacterial RNA genes of between 135 and 170 bases in length. The t44 gene is found between the map and rpsB genes in all species in the full alignment apart from Shigella flexneri.
Source: RNAcentral
AGGCUUUUCUUCACUUAAUCGCAAACUAAGCGUAAAAUGUGCGGGUCAUUAUACAUGGCAAACUAACUAAACACUAAAUCACACACGUAUCGACACAUUCUUCGGGGUGCCUUUUUAGGUCGAAGACAUGGGAUGCGUGGAGGUCUAACC